UACGUGAAACCGUUUAGGGGUAAACCUGAGAAACCCGAAAGUUCGAACGAGGAGAUUCAGUGUGUCUCGGCAAGUGCGAGUGCCGUUCGUAGACAAUUGUCGUUCGCGGCGAUUGCUUCGUACGUGCGCCGCCAUGUGUCGAACGCAUGCACUUCUCCUCCAGUAGGACGUCACGACCCGUUGGGUGUCGGUCUGAGGCUUGCAGUGGAGCCCGUGCGUCGGCGAAAGCCGUUCGUUCGGACCUGUGAUGUCCCGGCCGGCUGCUCGACGGUAUGACUUGAGGCGCAGAGCCGCGACUAGCUCGCGUUCGGCCCGAUGCAAGCGUGGACGGUUACCUGAUCAUCGGACUUGUGCCGAUCUCGGGGCCGCUCAGCUGCUGGUGUCGGUGUUCCCGGACAGACUCUGUACACGCUUGUCGGUGACGCUAUAGCUUUGGGUACUUUCAGGGCCCGUCUUGAAACACGGACCAAGGAGUCUAGCAUGUGCGCGAGUCAUUGGGACUAUCGAAUCCUAAAGGCGUAAUGAAAGUAAAGGCAGAGCCUAGCUCGGCCAAGGGAAGAUGGGUGACGCAAGUCGCCUCGCACUCCCGGGGCGUCUCAUUCUCAUUGCGAGAAGAGGCGCACCUAGAGCGUACACGCUGGGACCCGAAAGAUGGUGAACUAUGCCUGGUCAGGACGAAGUCAGGGGAAACCCUGAUGGAGGUCCGUAGCGAUUCUGACGUGCAAAUCGAUCGUAGGAACUGGGUAUAGCGGCGAUAGACUAAUCGAACCAUC
RNAcentral lists this ribosomal RNA (773 nucleotides) under Staphylinidae sp. NZAC 03011120. RNAcentral describes it as "eukaryotic LSU rRNA". It matches the Rfam family "Eukaryotic large subunit ribosomal RNA", at positions 396 to 944 of the family's 3401-position model. Lineage: Eukaryota; Metazoa; Arthropoda; Insecta; Coleoptera; Staphylinidae. The record is from RNAcentral.